AUACGUAGGCAGCGAGCGUUGUCCGGAAUUACUGGGUGUAAAGGGAGCGUAGGCGGGAGUGCAAGUCAGAUGUGAAAUACAUGGGCUCAACCCAUGGGCUGCAUUUGAAACUGCAUUUCUUGAGUGAAGUAGAGGUAAGCGGAAUUCCUGGUGUAGCGGUGAAAUGCGUAGAUAUCAGGAGGAACACCGGUGGCGAAGGCGGCUUACUGGGCUUUUACUGACGCUGAGGCUCGAAAGCGUGGGGAGCAAACAGGAUUAGAUACCCUGGUAGUCCACGCUGUAAACGAUGAUUACUAGGUGUGGGGGGACUGACCCCUUCCGUGCCGCAGUUAACACAAUAAGUAAUCCACCUGGGGAGUACGGCCGCAAGGCUAAAACUCAAAUGAAUUGACGGGG
RNAcentral lists this ribosomal RNA (396 nucleotides) under uncultured bacterium. RNAcentral describes it as "partial 16S ribosomal RNA". It matches the Rfam family "Bacterial small subunit ribosomal RNA", at positions 523 to 918 of the family's 1533-position model. The record is from RNAcentral.